ACUCCUACGGGAGGCAGCAGUGGGGAAUAUUGCACAAUGGGCGAAAGCCUGAUGCAGCAACGCCGCGUGAGUGAUGAAGGCCUUCGGGUCGUAAAGCUCUUUGAUCAGGGAUGAUAAUGACAGUACCUGAAAAACAAGCCACGGCUAACUACGUGCCAGCAGCCGCGGUAAUACGUAGGCGGCGAGCGUUGUCCGGAAUUACUGGGCGUAAAGGAUGCGUAGGUGGAUACUUAAGUGGGAUGUGAAAUCCCCGGGCUCAACCCGGGAACUGCAUUCCAAACUGGGUAUCUAGAGUGCAGGAGAGGAAAGCGGAAUUCCUAGUGUAGCGGUGAAAUGCGUAGAUAUUAGGAGGAACACCAGUGGCGAAGGCGGCUUUCUGGACUGUAACUGACACUGAGGCAUGAAAGCGUGGGUAGCAAACAGGAUUAGAUACCCUGGUAGUC
This 443-nucleotide ribosomal RNA is filed under the name uncultured bacterium. RNAcentral's name for it is "bacterial SSU rRNA". It matches the Rfam family "Bacterial small subunit ribosomal RNA", at positions 335 to 795 of the family's 1533-position model. The record is from RNAcentral.